RNAcentral lists this transfer RNA (74 nucleotides) under Acidobacteriota bacterium. RNAcentral describes it as "tRNA-Arg". It matches the Rfam family "tRNA". From Rfam's summary of the family: Transfer RNA (tRNA) molecules are approximately 80 nucleotides in length. Their secondary structure includes four short double-helical elements and three loops (D, anti-codon, and T loops). Further hydrogen bonds mediate the characteristic L-shaped molecular structure. tRNAs have two regions of fundamental functional importance: the anti-codon, which is responsible for specific mRNA codon recognition, and the 3' end, to which the tRNAs corresponding amino acid is attached (by aminoacyl-tRNA synthetases). tRNAs cope with the degeneracy of the genetic code in two manners: having more than one tRNA (with a specific anti-codon) for a particular amino acid; and 'wobble' base-pairing, i.e. permitting non-standard base-pairing at the 3rd anti-codon position. Lineage: Bacteria; Pseudomonadati; Acidobacteriota. The record is from RNAcentral. RNAcentral also lists the same sequence under 1 other name.
GCACCCGUAGCUCAGUUGGAUAGAGCGUUUGACUACGAAUCAAAAGGUCGGAAGUUCGAGUCUUCCCGGGUGUA